CCUCCACUUUUCUGUAAACGUCAGGUGUUUCCCAUUUUGAACAUACUGAUCUGUGAACUCCUUCAGCAUACCCAAACAAUCUGCUUCUGUGCCUCCAGUAGUGAAGUCAAAAGAAAGUGGUGAGGAUCACACUCUAAAAUUGAGUAAACUUGAUGAUGAAUUCUAGAUUAGUAAAACUGGGUGGAUGAUGGUAGCUUUCACAGUGCUAUAUUGCUGCAGUUCAAAAACCAGCAGGUACAGGUGAAGUGAGACUAGGAUAGUUUUCUCUUGCUGGAAAGAUAUGUUAAGACAGAUCCUCAGCUGGUACAGUGGUUGAUGUGAAGUGUGUGAGGUGAGGAUAUAUUCCAAGGAGUGAAGUUCCGGUUUCAUUAAAGUAAUUGGGAAUUUUGCUAUUUCAUUCAGGGAGACAGGCUGUCAGUCCAAAUUCCUUGGGACAUAGAAAUGCUGCAACAUGAAACUGGAGGCAUUUUUCUGACUAUAGGCAGGUCUGCGAUAGAUGCAGGAAUGAGGGAGAAGGGCCCAGUGAAAGGAGACGAGAUCAGCACUUUGGACUGUAAGAUGUGCUGUAUAAUGUCUUUAUCAACUGCAUAGACAGUGGGAUCAAGUGCACCCUCAGCAAGUUUGCUGAUGACAGCAAACUGAGUGAUGAUGCAGUUGGUGCAAUAGAUGGAGGGAAUAUCAUCCCGAGCGUAGCAGAAAUGCUAAGUCAUGGCUCAAAGCAGUGAUUGAGCACCUGGUGGGAAGGCAGGGCCAAGCCAGGGGAGCUCAGGUGCAUGCAACAGACCUGAAUGAUUGGAAGUGCUGGAGCCAGGAUCCAUCCCUUCCCAGACCUCAUUUAAAGGUUGGCAGUGGAGGCAAGAGUAUCCUGCUGGAGAUGGCUGCAUACCUGAGGCUUUCUGUAGGAAAAAAAAAAAAAAAAUUGGACUGGAUUGAAAUGCAGCAUGAAUCAUAAGAGAAGUUUAGAAGCACAUGAAGAUGAAUGGGUCCCCAGUGACUCAACAGAGAACAUCUGGAGCAGGUCACAUUUUGAAGCUUUUCUGUGUAAUUAUUAGAGACUGAAAACUUCUUUAAAAACAAAAGUCCAGAUGAUUCUGUGUUCCUAAGACUCUACAAGCAAGAACAUCAGCAUCCUUGUUGCCCCAGAAAUGAAGAAAAGUUUUCAAGUACAUCUAAAUAUUAUCUAACACCUGAGAGGAUGUCAAGGAGACGAAGUCAAUCUCAUCACAGUGGAAAGUCAAGAGAUUAUGGACAUGUGUUGAAACAAGAAAUUGUCAAAUGGGAUGUGAGAAAAAGCUUUUUCACCACAAGGACAGUGGAACAGAGGAAGAGGCUGCCCAGUGAAGAUGAAUCUUUUGAAAAUUACUGAAUACAAAGAGGCUACACUUUAUUGGGAAUUCCCUGCACUGCAACUGAUUGAAAGCUAGAAGAAUAUGAGAUUUAUGGCCAUCCGUUUAUGACCAUAUAAUAAAUGAGUUGGGUCUCAGUAGAUUUAUCUGGAUCUAGCCUUAGUCUAAACUGAAUUGAAAAUAGCUGUUCUUAAUUUUGUAUCAUACUUUCCUCCAUUUUACAGUAAAUUUGGGGGGGGGAGGGGAGGAAGGUAAAAAAGCUCAUAUGAACUGGAUGGGCAAGAGGGAUGGAUGUGUGUGUGUAAUCUGAAGAGUGGGAAAUUCAAGCACCCUGAACUCCACCUUUUAACAAAGUACAAAUCUAUGAGGGGUACUGGUCUCCCUCAGCUGAUUGGGAACUUAGUUUGUUCAGAGCAUAGGCCUCCAGCAUGUGCACAGAGCCAUGGCCCAGACCUCCCACAGCUUGUUUGGGCUCAGAUUUGCUUCCUCACAGCUCCGUCCAGCCACUGGCAAACUGAUUUUUGGUUAAUGUUUUCAUAGAUAUCUGAGGGAUUUCUUUACCACGCAUACACUCUAACAAAAAAUAACAAGCUCUUGAAAAUCUUUCCAAAGGAGUAAGAUAUCCGCGUCUGACUUCACUUCUGUGUGAAUAUCACCAGGACACCAACAUAUUGUGUGGGACUUUUUCCCGCUCUUCUUGCAUAUGGAAAUGAAAAGGGUCUCUAGUACUCCUUUUUUGCAACCCCCCUCAUGACUUUUAUAUCAUGUUGUCAGUUUGGGGUGCUUUGCAGCUAUUCCAUUUGUCAAUCAGAACAGGUUAAUAAUAGAAAAAUUAUUCAUG
Molecule: long non-coding RNA, 2187 nt
Organism: Gallus gallus (chicken)
Lineage: Eukaryota; Metazoa; Chordata; Aves; Galliformes; Phasianidae
Source: Ensembl